AAGCGGAUAUUUUAAAGGUAAACUGGCGGUCUCCAAAACUCGCCGAUGUAGGUUCGAUUCCUGCUCCGCUUG
RNAcentral lists this transfer RNA (72 nucleotides) under Enterococcus cecorum. Its description in RNAcentral is "tRNA-Trp". It matches the Rfam family "tRNA". From Rfam's summary of the family: Transfer RNA (tRNA) molecules are approximately 80 nucleotides in length. Lineage: Bacteria; Bacillati; Bacillota; Bacilli; Lactobacillales; Enterococcaceae. The record is from RNAcentral.